GAUGAACGCUGGCGGCGUGCUUAACACAUGCAAGUCGAACGGAAAGGCUCCUGCUUGCAGGGGUACUCGAGUGGCGAACGGGUGAGUAACACGUGGGUGAUCUGCCCUGCACUUCGGGAUAAGCCUGGGAAACUGGGUCUAAUACCGGAUAGGACGAUGGUUUGGAUGCCAUUGUGGAAAGUUUUUCGGUGUGGGAUGAGCUCGCGGCCUAUCAGCUUGUUGGUGGGGUAAUGGCUACCAAGGCGUCGACGGGUAGCCGGCCUGAGAGGGGGGACGGCCACAUUGGGACUGAGAUACGGCCCAGACUCCUACGGGAGGCAGCAGUGGGGAAUAUUGCACAAUGGGCGCAAGCCUGAUGCAGCGACGCCGCGUGGGGGAUGACGGCCUUCGGGUUGUAAACUCCUUUCGCUAGGGACGAAGCGCAAGUGACGGUACCUGGAGAAGAAGCACCGGCUAACUACGUG
This 464-nucleotide ribosomal RNA is filed under the name uncultured bacterium. RNAcentral's name for it is "partial 16S ribosomal RNA". It matches the Rfam family "Bacterial small subunit ribosomal RNA", at positions 28 to 507 of the family's 1533-position model. The record is from RNAcentral.